GCAUAUCAAUAAGCGGAGGAAAAGAAACCAACAGGGAUUGCCUCAGUAACGGCGAGUGAAGCGGCAAAAGCUCAAAUUUGAAAUCCCCCGGGAAUUGUAAUUUGAAGAGAUUUGGGUCCGGCCGGCAGGGGUUAAGUCCACUGGAAAGUGGCGCCACAGAGGGUGACAGCCCCGUGAACCCCUUCAAAGCCCUCAUCCCAGAUCUCCAAGAGUCGAGUUGUUUGGGAAUGCAGCUCUAAGUGGGUGGUAAAUUCCAUCUAAAGCUAAAUACCGGCGAGAGACCGAUAGCGAACAAGUACAGUGAUGGAAAGAUGAAAAGCACUUUGAAAAGAGAGUGAAAAAGUACGUGAAAUUGUUGAAAGGGAAGGGCUUGCAAGCAGACACUUAACUGGGCCAGCAUCGGGGCGGCGGGAAGCAAAACCACUGGGGAAUGUACCUUUCGAGGAUUAUAACCCCGGUCUUUACUUCCUCACCAUCCCGAGGCCUGCAAUCUAAGGAUGCUGGCGUAAUGGUUGCAAGUCGCCCGUCUUGAAACACGGACCAAGGAGUCUAACAAUCAUGCAAGUGUUUGGGCCCAAAACCCAUACGCGCAAUGAAAGUAACCGGAGCGAACCUCACCGGUGCAGCUCCAGCCACACCGAGACCCAAAUCCCGGUGUGAGCAAGCAUGGCUGUUGGGACCCGAAAGAUGGUGAACUAUACCUGGAUAGGGUGAAGCCAGAGGAAACUCUGGUGGAGGCUCGUAGCGGUUCUGACGUGCAAAUCGAUCGUCGAAUCUGGGUAUAGGGGGCGAAAGACUAAUCGAACCAUCUAGUAGCUGGGUUCCUGCCGA
Molecule: ribosomal RNA, 831 nt
Filed under: Metschnikowia pulcherrima
Lineage: Eukaryota; Fungi; Ascomycota; Pichiomycetes; Serinales; Metschnikowiaceae
Description: LSU rRNA
Rfam family: Eukaryotic large subunit ribosomal RNA
Source: RNAcentral